Molecule: long non-coding RNA, 430 nt
Organism: Mobula hypostoma (lesser devil ray)
Lineage: Eukaryota; Metazoa; Chordata; Chondrichthyes; Myliobatiformes; Myliobatidae
Exons: 4
Source: RefSeq, a predicted model, not a curated record
GGUAUGAUUUGCAGAGGGCUAUUUCAGGGGCGAAGAGACAAUUUUGAACAAGGUUGGAGAUGACUUCAGACGUACAACAACUCUGGGAGAAAAUAACUACAGCUGCGACGAUCCCUGCUGCAUCUGAUGACUCUGUGAUCUCCGUUUCAGAAGCCGAUGUUAGGCUGUUUUUAAAGAGAGUGAACCCUCACAAGGUGGAAGGUCCCGAUGGAAUACCUGAACAGAGGAGGCUAUCUUUUGGAAGCAAAUACACCAUCCUGUGGAUUCGGAAUUGACUUGCUCAUAGAAGGCAGAGGGUGAUUCAGGCAUAUUCUGCCUGCAGAGUCUCAUUGACUUUACGGAAUUAGGUUAGAUGCGAGGCAUCUCAGGAAUAUUCAUCAACCGUAUGGACAGCAGCUGACUUUUGCUGUAUCAACAUGAGAGAGCAGGU